GUCUACGGCCAUACCACCCUGAAUGCACCCGAUCUCCUCUGAUCUCAGAAGCUAAGCAGGGUCGGGCCUGGUUAGUGCUUGGAUG
This 85-nucleotide ribosomal RNA is filed under the name Propithecus coquereli (Coquerel's sifaka). Lineage: Eukaryota; Metazoa; Chordata; Mammalia; Primates; Indriidae. The record is from RNAcentral.